CAUAAAGUUUACAGAUUUAUAAGACUUUAAUUAAUUCUUUAUUAUUUGUGAGUGGAGAUUGGCAACUGUGGAGACUUGAACAGUCUGUCAGAUCACAGGCUCCUGGAGUUGGAGGAAGGUUAACUGCUAAGUGUCUCUCAGAUGGCUAUGGGACAGAUGAAAAGCCGAGUGUAGAGAAAUGAUCAAGCCAGUCCUUUUCUCCUGCUCCUAACAUCACCUAUUAUCCACCUUGCCCUCCGCGCGUGCUGCUGUGCACUGAGCCAGUGGUUUCAAUGCACCUUUUGUAAUGACUUCCCGAAGCCUGCACUGGGGAGCGUACUGAAUAACUCUCCCAUUUAGCACCUUGCCCCCUGCUUGAUUCCCGUCUCCCGGUGAAAUAGAGAUCUAAGUUGAACUCCAAGCAGCCCUCUGGAUUUUAUGCUAGGUGACCUGCGAAGAACCUAUGGGAAGGAAUGGAGUGAUCGCGAAUUUUCAGGCUGAGACCAUAAUGCCGAUUUAAAUGGGUGAGAAGGUUUGUCCUGUGUUCUUACUUAUUCCAUCAACAGAAGCAUUUUAAAUUUUCUUGCAGGACUGAGAAAACACUCUCUGGUUGAGUGACACCUUUAGGAAAACCAAUAUCUCAGUUGAGAGAUUCCAUUGCCAAGAAAGAAAAAGAAAAUCUUAAAAAAAUAAAAUAAAAAGAACAAAAACAAAAUAAA
Mastomys coucha (southern multimammate mouse) is the source of this 698-nucleotide long non-coding RNA. RefSeq lists it as uncharacterized. The record is from RefSeq and is a predicted model, not a curated record. Lineage: Eukaryota; Metazoa; Chordata; Mammalia; Rodentia; Muridae. The transcript is spliced from 2 exons.